Long non-coding RNA from Sphaeramia orbicularis (orbiculate cardinalfish), 122 nucleotides. RefSeq lists it as uncharacterized. The transcript is spliced from 2 exons. Lineage: Eukaryota; Metazoa; Chordata; Actinopteri; Kurtiformes; Apogonidae. The record is from RefSeq and is a predicted model, not a curated record.
UGACUAUUUAUUCAAUACAUACAUAUUGUUGUUUGAAUAGUGUUAGAGUAUAUGGUAAUAAUUUAAAAACAGGUUUUAAAAUGAAUGAAUUGGAACUGACUGAAUAAAAUGAGGCUCCACAC